This 285-nucleotide ribosomal RNA is filed under the name Cyttus australis. RNAcentral describes it as "partial 12S ribosomal RNA". It matches the Rfam family "Bacterial small subunit ribosomal RNA", at positions 872 to 1320 of the family's 1533-position model. Lineage: Eukaryota; Metazoa; Chordata; Actinopteri; Zeiformes; Cyttidae. The record is from RNAcentral.
CCAGAGGAAUACUACUGAGCAUUAGCUUAAAACCCAAAGGACUUGGCGGUGCUUUAGACCCACCUAGAGGAGCCUGUUCUAUAACUGAUACCCCCCGAUAAACCUCACCACCCCUUGCUCAUACCGCCUAUAUACCGCCGUCGUCAGCUUACCCUGUGNAGGUACUAAUCGUAAGCAAAGUUAGUAAUACUCAGAACGUCAGGUCGAGGUGUAGCACAUGGAGUGGAAAGAAAUGGGCUACAUUCUCUCUCGAGAGAAUACGAAUGGUGGGAUGAAACGCCCACC